ACUUCUCUGCUUCUGCUCAUAACAGAGACACUAAGUAGAAUACAUUAUAUGUUGGAGAAUGACAAGUUCCAUAGAGGUAUUUUGGCCUUGUUAACACAAAGCAGUGUACAUGUGGGGGUACCGUUUGUUUGGAAAACUGCAAAUCAUUUAAGCCAAACAUCAUUAUUCAAGAUUCAAACAAAGAAUUGUUUAAACUGGUGGGUUUGUCCAUGGCAUCAAUUUUAGUGCUUUAUUUCCCUUUUUACUGAGUUAUUUGCCAAAUGUGCAAUUACCUCUGUA
RNAcentral lists this unclassified non-coding RNA (279 nucleotides) under Hevea brasiliensis (rubber tree). Lineage: Eukaryota; Viridiplantae; Streptophyta; Magnoliopsida; Malpighiales; Euphorbiaceae. The record is from RNAcentral.